Molecule: long non-coding RNA, 423 nt
Filed under: Homo sapiens (human)
Lineage: Eukaryota; Metazoa; Chordata; Mammalia; Primates; Hominidae
Description: non-protein coding lnc-LRRC52-8:1
Source: RNAcentral
AAAAAACCAUCUCACUUUAACAGAAAGCAUGCAAGUGCCCUUUUCUGGAGGAGGUGGGAAUGAGGGAGUACACAGACUUUAGGAGUGGGGAUUCAGCUCUGUGGCUCCAGGAAGGUUAAUCUUCAAUGUUAAUCCGUUUAGAUAAAGUUGUUAGUUAAAAGGUAAUCUGUUUAGCCUCCCUUUCCCCAUUCUCCUGCCAGAAAAGAGGGAGUUCAAGUGUUACAACCAUGUGUGAGUUGUUUACAGUACGCACAGGUAUGGGCUGAAGGGAAACAAAGCUUAAGGGAUGACUAGAAAGGCUUGCUGAAAUUGCUAUGGGAGGGCCCCACCCUCCAAGCCAUCUCCCCUCACACCCCGCUCGGUUUCAGUUUCUGCAGCUUGGUUAUGCGACAUUCUCUUAAUCCUUUUUUGAAUCUGGUCUCU